RNAcentral lists this ribosomal RNA (785 nucleotides) under uncultured bacterium. Its description in RNAcentral is "bacterial SSU rRNA". It matches the Rfam family "Bacterial small subunit ribosomal RNA", at positions 75 to 862 of the family's 1533-position model. The record is from RNAcentral.
AGUAGCAAUACUGAUGGCGACCGGCGCACGGGUGCGUAACACGUAUACAAUCUGCCUUUAACAGGGGGAUAGCCCGGAGAAAUCCGGAUUAAUACCCCAUAACAGUGGAGUUGGCAUCAACUUCAUUUAAAAGCUCCGGCGGUUAGAGAUGAGUAUGCGUCUGAUUAGCUAGAUGGUGAGGUAACGGCUCACCAUGGCAACGAUCAGUAGGGGAUCUGAGAGGAUUAACCCCCACACGGAUACUGAGACACGGAUCCGACUCCUACGGGAGGCAGCAGUAAGGAAUAUUGGACAAUGCCCGCCAGGGUGAUCCAGCCAUGCCGCGUGCAGGAAGACGGCCCUAUGGGUUGUAAACUGCUUUUGCACCAGGGAAAACCCCCGCUCGUGAGCGGGGCUGAUAGUAUGGUGAGAAUAAGCAUCGGCUAACUUCGUGCCAGCAGCCGCGGUAAGACGAAGGAUGCAAGCGUUAUCCGGAUUCAUUGGGUUUAAAGGGAGCGUAGGUGGACUGAUAAGUCAGUGGUGAAAGCCAAUCGCUUAACGAUUGAAUUGCCAUUGAUACUGUUGGUCUUGAGUACAGUUGCUGUGGGCGGAAUAUGACAUGUAGUGGUGAAAUACAUAGAGAUGUCAUAGAACACCGAUUGCGAAGGCAGCUCACAAAACUGUAACUGACACUGAGGCUCGAAAGUGCGGGGAUCAAACAGGAUUAGAUACCCUGGUAGUCCGCACUGUAAACGAUGAUUACUCGCUGCUGGGAGGUAACUUUCAGUGGCUAAGCGAAAGCGAUA